UACGGAGGGGGCUAGCGUUAUUCGGAAUUACUGGGCGUAAAGCGCACGUAGGCGGCUUUGUAAGUAAGAGGUGAAAGCCCGGAGCUCAACUCCGGAACUGCCUUUUAGACUGCAUCGCUUGAAUCCAGGAGAGGUGAGUGGAAUUCCGAGUGUAGAGGUGAAAUUCGUAGAUAUUCGGAGGAACACCAGUGGCGAAGGCGGCUCACUGGACUGGUAUUGACGCUGAGGUGCGAAAGCGUGGGGAGCAAACAGG
This 253-nucleotide ribosomal RNA is filed under the name uncultured bacterium. RNAcentral's name for it is "partial 16S ribosomal RNA". It matches the Rfam family "Bacterial small subunit ribosomal RNA", at positions 524 to 776 of the family's 1533-position model. The record is from RNAcentral.